This 518-nucleotide ribosomal RNA is filed under the name uncultured bacterium. RNAcentral's name for it is "bacterial SSU rRNA". It matches the Rfam family "Bacterial small subunit ribosomal RNA", at positions 374 to 883 of the family's 1533-position model. The record is from RNAcentral.
GACGAAAGUCUGACGGAGCAACGCCGCGUGAACGAUGAAGGCUUUCGGGUCGUAAAGUUCUGUUGUCAGGGAAGAACAAGUACUGGAGUAACUGCCGGUACCUUGACGGUACCUGACCAGAAAGCCACGGCUAACUACGUGCCAGCAGCCGCGGUAAUACGUAGGUGGCAAGCGUUGUCCGGAAUUAUUGGGCGUAAAGCGCGCGCAGGCGGUUCCUUAAGUCUGAUGUGAAAGCCCCCGGCUCAACCGGGGAGGGUCAUUGGAAACUGGGGAACUUGAGUGCAGAAGAGGAGAGCGGAAUUCCACGUGUAGCGGUGAAAUGCGUAGAGAUGUGGAGGAACACCAGUGGCGAAGGCGGCUCUCUGGUCUGUAACUGACGCUGAGGCGCGAAAGCGUGGGGAGCGAACAGGAUUAGAUACCCUGGUAGUCCACGCCGUAAACGAUGAGUGCUAAGUGUUAGAGGGUUUCCGCCCUUUAGUGCUGCAGCAAACGCAUUAAGCACUCCGCCUGGGGAGUAC